This 557-nucleotide ribosomal RNA is filed under the name uncultured archaeon. RNAcentral describes it as "bacterial SSU rRNA". It matches the Rfam family "Archaeal small subunit ribosomal RNA", at positions 321 to 879 of the family's 1478-position model. The record is from RNAcentral.
CCCUACGGGGUGCAGCAGGCGCGAAAACUUCACACUGUGCGAAAGCGCGAUGAGGGAAUCCCAAGUGUUUGCUCGUAAGAGUAAACUGUUUCUUUGUUUAAAACGCAGAGAGAGUAAGGGCUGGGUAAGACGGGUGCCAGCCGCCGCGGUAAUACCUGCAGCUCGAGUGGUGAUCAUUAUUAUUGGGCCUAAAACGUCCGUAGCCGGUUUAGUAAAUGCCUGGGUAAAUCGUGUAGCUUAACUAUACGACUUCCGGGUAGACUGCUAAACUUGAGACCGGGAGAGGCUAGAGGUACUCCUAGGGUAGAGGUGAAAUUCUGUAAUCCUAGGGGGACCACCAGUGGCGAAGGCGUCUAGCUAGAACGGGUCUGACGGUGAGGGACGAAGCCCUGGGGCACAAACCGGAUUAGAUACCCGGGUAGUCCAGGGUGUAAACGCUGCUUGCUUGAUGUUAGUUGGGCUCCGAGCCCAACUAGUGUCGGAGAGAAGUUGUUAAGCAAGCUGCCUGGGAAGUACGGUCGCAAGGCUGAAACUUAAAGGAAUUGGCGGGGGAGCAC